This 484-nucleotide ribosomal RNA is filed under the name uncultured bacterium. Its description in RNAcentral is "partial 16S ribosomal RNA". It matches the Rfam family "Bacterial small subunit ribosomal RNA", at positions 28 to 523 of the family's 1533-position model. The record is from RNAcentral.
GAUGAACGCUGGCGGCGUGCUUAACACAUGCAAGUCGAACGGUGAAGCAGGAGCUUGCUCUUGUGGAUCAGUGGCGAACGGGUGAGUAACACGUGAGCAACCUGCCCCUGACUCUGGGAUAAGCGCUGGAAACGGCGUCUAAUACUGGAUAUGUGAUGUGACCGCAUGGUCUGCAUCUGGAAAGAAUUUCGGUUGGGGAUGGGCUCGCGGCCUAUCAGCUUGUUGGUGAGGUAAUGGCUCACCAAGGCGUCGACGGGUAGCCGGCCUGAGAGGGGAACCGGCCACACUGGGACUGAGACACGGCCCAGACUCCUACGGGAGGCAGCAGUGGGGAAUAUUGCACAAUGGGCGGGAGCCUGAUGCAGCAACGCCGCGUGAGGGAUGACGGCCUUCGGGUUGUAAACCUCUUUUAGCAGGGAAGAAGCGAAAGUGACGGUACCUGCAGAAAAAGCACCGGCUAACUACGUGCCAGCCGCCGCGGUAA